RNAcentral lists this long non-coding RNA (1326 nucleotides) under Amphimedon queenslandica. Its description in RNAcentral is "uncharacterized LOC109581393, transcript variant X2". The record is from RNAcentral. Lineage: Eukaryota; Metazoa; Porifera; Demospongiae; Haplosclerida; Niphatidae.
ACUAUUUAAUUUUUCUUUUCUCAGUUACAUUGUGUAGUUUUAAGUACCAAAAGUGACCCCACUGAGUUCCUAUCAUUUCAGUUCGGUUUCAAAACGAAACUUAAUACUUUCAUUUGUCUAAGUUUCUUAGUGUAGUUUAUACCAAGAGUGGCUGAUCUUACCGCCUUGUAAUCAUUUUUAGUUGAUUUUUAAAAUGAUUUGUGUUCUGCUUCUCACUAUAUGUUACUUCUUCUGUUUCAUAGUAUUUUGUACCAAAAGUAACUGAUGGGACACAUUCUAAUCAUUUUAAGUUGGUUUCUGACAAUGUUUACUGUUGUACUAUCCUGUUUUUUCUAUUUUCAAUUUCAUUAUAAUCUAUAUCGAGAGUAACUGAUCAAACUGAGUUUUGAUUAUUUGUUCCGUUUAUAAUGUUAAUGGUCUAUACUUCUCACUAUUUGUCUUUCCUUUUCUUUGUUACAGAGCAUAGUUAUCACUAGAAGUGGCUGAACUGACAGAGGUCUUAUCAUUUAAGUGUAGUUAUAUGCCAGGACUGACUGAUGAGACUGAGUUAUUAUUUGAGGUUUUGUUUUAUAUUGAUGUUUCAUGUUCUACUCACUUUAUUUCUUUCUCAGUUUUAUAAUAAUAUGUAUACCGGAAUUGACUAAAUAAACUUAAGUCUUAUCAUUGUACGGUUCAUACUCAGAGUGACUGAUUCAAAAGUUUUAGUCAAUUUAAACCUUUUUUGCAAUAAUGUUUCAUCUUUUACUGAUUCUCACUUUCUGUUUCUUUUCACAGAUUCAUAGUAUAGUUCAAAAUACCAGUUGUGACUGAUCUGACUGAAGUCUCAUCAUACCACGUUGCUUUUUGAAUUUGUGAUCUAAUCCUUAUUUGUUUCUUCUUUUCUCUGCUGUAUAGUGUAGUUUUACUGAUCAGACUGAGUUAUCGAAUAAUUUUACUGAGGUCUUAUCAUUUGAGUUUUAUUGAAGUUUACAACUGGACUGUCUCAGUUUUUGUCACUAGUGUAUACCUCAUGUGACUGAUUGUUUUAUCCUUCAAACUUUGUUUCAAAAAUGAUGUCACUACUUAUUACUACUUUUUCACUUUCAUGAUACAGUUUAUACCAUGACCGCAUAAUCAAACUGAUCUAUCAUCAUUUGAGUUUCAUGGAUUUACCUUGAAUAACUGAUCGGACUGAGUUUUAUUCAUUUAAUUUUAUGUUAUGGUGUUAAAUAUUAGAAGCGACUGAUCAAACAGUUGUCAUUUUAGGUAGGCUUCUAAACAAUAUUUUGUGUACUUAUAACUAUUGGUUUCUUCUUUUCUCAGUUUUGUGGUGUAGUUUAUACCUAA